AUCCAGCUGAUAAGUCCCAAAUAGGACGAAACACUUGUCAAACUGGAU
Molecule: non-coding RNA, 48 nt
Filed under: Schistosoma mansoni
Lineage: Eukaryota; Metazoa; Platyhelminthes; Trematoda; Strigeidida; Schistosomatidae
Source: RNAcentral